This 645-nucleotide ribosomal RNA is filed under the name Naganishia diffluens. Its description in RNAcentral is "eukaryotic LSU rRNA". The stretch from base 210 to 363 matches the Rfam family "5.8S ribosomal RNA". The record is from RNAcentral. Lineage: Eukaryota; Fungi; Basidiomycota; Tremellomycetes; Filobasidiales; Filobasidiaceae.
GGAAGUAAAAGUCGUAACAAGGUUUCCGUAGGUGAACCUGCGGAAGGAUCAUUAAUGAUUAACUGUCUGUCGAGCUUGCUCACAGACUUAUCAUAUCCAUAACACCUGUGCACUUGUCGGAUGGCUUAGUGAAGACCGCAAGGUUGGAUCUAUCCAUCUACUUUACAUAACAAUUUAGUAACAAAUGUAGUCUUAUUAUAACAUAAUAAAACUUUCAACAACGGAUCUCUUGGCUCUCGCAUCGAUGAAGAACGCAGCGAAAUGCGAUAAGUAAUGUGAAUUGCAGAAUUCAGUGAAUCAUCGAAUCUUUGAACGCACCUUGCGCUCCCUGGUAUUCCGGGGAGCAUGCCUGUUUGAGUGUCAUGAAAACCCUCAACCUUAGAUUGGUUAACACCUUUCUUUGGCUUGGAUUUGGACGUUUGCCGAUGAUAAGUCGGCUCGUCUUAAAAGUAAUAGCUGGAUCUGUCUCGCGACAUGGUUUGACUUGGCGUAAUAAGUAUUUCGCUAAGGACAUCUUCGGAUGGCCGCGUUGCAAGACUAAAGACCGCUUUCUAAUCCAUUGAUCUUCGGAUUAAUAUUCUUGACAUCUGGCCUCAAAUCAGGUAGGACUACCCGCUGAACUUAAGCAUAUCAAUAAGCGGAGGA